This 253-nucleotide ribosomal RNA is filed under the name uncultured bacterium. RNAcentral's name for it is "partial 16S ribosomal RNA". It matches the Rfam family "Bacterial small subunit ribosomal RNA", at positions 524 to 776 of the family's 1533-position model. The record is from RNAcentral.
UACAGAGGGUGCGAGCGUUGUCCGGAAUCACUGGGCGUAAAGGGCGCGUAGGCGGGCUGGUAAGUCAGGGGUGAAAGCCCACGGCCCAACCGUGGAAGUGCCUUUGAUACUGCCAGUCUCGAGGGAGGUAGGGGCGUGCGGAACUUCCGGUGGAGCGGUGAAAUGCGUAGAUAUCGGAAGGAACACCGGUGGCGAAAGCGGCGCGCUGGACCUCUUCUGACGCUGAGGCGCGAAAGCCAGGGGAGCAAACGGG